GUUUAUCCCGAUAAGCGCGGUCGAUUUGUUUUGAAACAGGUGGGGAUGACACAUUCUUAUGGAAAUGGGAGAAGGUUAGAUGACAGUAAGGCAUUGGGUGAACUGGACUUCCAGAUUGGAGACUAUUUGGACGUGGCAAUCCUGUAGAAACCUUGGCUGUUAUUAAGUUGGAGAGUGAGAGUUAUUUGUUUGCUGCCUUAGAAGAUUGGUUUUGGCGCUGUUUGUAGUAUCGAUUCUGUUCUGCAUUUUUUAUUCUCUAUGUUUAGAUGUCUUGUGAGGUAGAAGAACAGAUUGUAUUGAUUGUGAAUUUUUG
RNAcentral lists this unclassified non-coding RNA (313 nucleotides) under Hevea brasiliensis (rubber tree). Lineage: Eukaryota; Viridiplantae; Streptophyta; Magnoliopsida; Malpighiales; Euphorbiaceae. The record is from RNAcentral.